GCACGGGUGAGUAACACGUGACUAACCUACCCUGGAGUGGGGAAUAACUGAGGGAAACCUUAGCUAAUACCGCAUAAUACCUACGGGUCAAAGGAGCAAUUCGCUUCAGGAGGGGGUCGCGGCAGAUUAGCUAGUUGGUGGGGUAAAGGCCUACCAAGGCGACGAUCUGUAGCUGGUCUGAGAGGACGACCAGCCACACUGGGACUGAGACACGGCCCAGACUCCUACGGGAGGCAGCAGUGGGGAAUUUUGGACAAUGGGGGCAACCCUGAUCCAGCCAUGCCGCGUGUGUGAAGAAGGCCUUCGGGUUGUAAAGCACUUUUGUCCGGAACGAAACGGUUGAUGCGAAUAACAUCAGCUAAUGACGGUACCGGAAGAAUAAGCACCGGCUAACUACGUGCCAGCAGCCGCGGUAAUACGUAGGGUGCAAGCGUUAAUCGGAAUUACUGGGCGUAAAGCGUGCGCAGGCGGUUUCGCAAGUCAGAUGUGAAAUCCCCGGGCUCAACCUGGGAACUGCAUUUGAAAACUACGAGGCUAGAAGUGUGUCAGAGGGGGGGUCAGAAUUUCCACGUGUAGCCAGUUGGAAAUGCGUAGAGAUGUGGGAGGGAAUACCCGGAU
RNAcentral lists this ribosomal RNA (618 nucleotides) under uncultured bacterium. Its description in RNAcentral is "bacterial SSU rRNA". It matches the Rfam family "Bacterial small subunit ribosomal RNA", at positions 100 to 715 of the family's 1533-position model. The record is from RNAcentral.